RNAcentral lists this ribosomal RNA (255 nucleotides) under uncultured bacterium. RNAcentral's name for it is "partial 16S ribosomal RNA". It matches the Rfam family "Bacterial small subunit ribosomal RNA", at positions 524 to 776 of the family's 1533-position model. The record is from RNAcentral.
UACGGAGGGAGCUAGCGUUGUUCGGAAAUACUGGGCGUAAAGCGCACGUAGGCGGCGCAGCAAGUCAGGGGUGAAAUCCCGGGGCUCAACCCCCGGAACUGCCCUUGAAACUGCAGUGCUAGAAUUCUGGAGAGGCGAGUGGAAUUCCGAGUGUAGAGGUGAAAUUCGUAGAUAUUCGGAAGAACACCAGUGGCGAAGGCGACUCGCUGGACAGACAUUGACGCUGAGGUGCGAAAGCGUGGGGGAGCAAACAGG